GGUGAAAGGCUUGCUGCCUGGGGAAGAGCUUGCGUCUGAUUAGCUAGUUGGUAGUGUAAGAGACUACCAAGGCGACGAUCAGUAGCUGGUCUGAGAGGAUGAUCAGCCACACUGGGACUGAGACACGGCCCAGACUCCUACGGGAGGCAGCAGUGGGGAAUUUUCCGCAAUGGGCGAAAGCCUGACGGAGCAAUACCGCGUGAGGGAGGAAGGCUCUUGGGUUGUAAACCUCUUUUCUCAGGGAAGAAAAAAAUGACGGUACCUGAGGAAUAAGCAUCGGCUAACUCCGUGCCAGCAGCCGCGGUAAUACGGAGGAUGCAAGCGUUAUCCGGAAUGAUUGGGCGUAAAGGGUCCGCAGGUGGCAUUGUAAGUCUGCUGUUAAAGAGUUUGGCUCAACCAAAUAAAAGCAGUGGAAACUACAAAGCUAGAGUUUGGUCGGGGCAGAGGGAAUUCCUGGUGUAGCGGUGAAAUGCGUAGAUAUCAGGAAGAACACCAGUGG
RNAcentral lists this ribosomal RNA (499 nucleotides) under Dolichospermum planctonicum 1ES36S2. RNAcentral describes it as "bacterial SSU rRNA". It matches the Rfam family "Bacterial small subunit ribosomal RNA", at positions 199 to 715 of the family's 1533-position model. The record is from RNAcentral. Lineage: Bacteria; Bacillati; Cyanobacteriota; Cyanophyceae; Nostocales; Aphanizomenonaceae.